Talpa occidentalis (Iberian mole) is the source of this 1608-nucleotide long non-coding RNA. RefSeq lists it as uncharacterized. The record is from RefSeq and is a predicted model, not a curated record. Lineage: Eukaryota; Metazoa; Chordata; Mammalia; Eulipotyphla; Talpidae. The transcript is spliced from 3 exons.
CCUACGCUUUUGGACCAGGGCAUGCGAUAUUUUUCUGACAGCAGAGUUUUGAGCAUAAACUUGUCUUCUGCUAUAUCACCUAGGCCUGGGCACUGAGCACAGAGACUGCUUACCUCAGUGGCCUCAUUCUCCACAAGCAGCGGCCUGGCUUUGUUCCAAGGCCUGGACCAUCGAUAUGCUGAUGUGAGAUUAAAGUGCUGCCAAUUCAGACUCCUGAUCUUUCCCCCUGAAGAUAUCUAAUGAAGACCAAAUGAAAUGCCUCAUCUUAUCUAACUGCUUGCAUACAAUAUAAAGACAUAACUUCGGGAGCCUACCUGCAAGAAAGUUGCUGACAACUAUUUCAAUGGACUUACCUGUUAUCUGGACUCGAGAGAUAUGGACAAUUUACCAACUCAUGUGUGGAAAGUCUCAGAAAGUUUCAGGGGAGGGGAUUGUGUGGAUCCUGGCAGACAACUCCAAAAUGUGCAAUAGUGGCACAUUGAAUAAAUUAAAAUUACUUGAGAAAAAGAAGUUCAGAAAAAUUUCUGAAUUUAAUUAUCUUUCAACCAUAAGAGAAAGAUUUUUUUUCUCCCCAACAACACAAAAGAAAAACAAUCUCAGAAAUUCAGAGAAUCGUAAGCAAUUACUAUGAAUGUUUGUAUGCUGACUAAAUUGAAUAAUGUACAAGAGAGACAGAGUCUUAGAAAUAUAAAACCAUCUGAAACUGAAUCAGGAAGAAAUUAAAAACCUGAACAGACUGAUUACUGGCAAGGAAAUUGGAGCAGUUAUCUAAAGCCUCCCUAAAAACCAAAGUCCAGGACCAGAUAGCUUCACUGGUGAGUUCUCCCAAGCAUUCAAAGAUGACAUACUAAUACCUAUCCAUUUCUCACAUUUCCAAACACAUUUUGAGGUGAACAUUACCAUAAUAUCAAACUCAAGACAACACACACACAAACUACAGACCAAUUUCCCGAAUGAACACAGAUAAACAAAUACUCGACAGAAUCUUAGCAAACAGAAUUCGAUGCAUUAAAAUGAUCAUACACCAUGACCAAGAGUGGGAUUUAUUCCAGGGACACAAGGGUGGGUUCAACAUCCGAAAAUAAUCAACAUAAUUUACCACAACUCUAGCAAAAUAAAAAUCAUAUGACCCUAUCAAUAGAUGCUGAAAAAGACUAGAUGGAAUAUAUCUCAACAUAAUAAAGGCCAUAUACCACACAGCCAGAGCUAACAUGUUCACUGGUAAAAAACUAAAUCCUUUACACUGUUGGUGGGGUAUAGAUGGGCCCAGUCCCUGUGGAAAAGACUAUGGAGGUUUCUCAAAAUACAAAAAACGAGUCUACAACAUGAGUCAGCAACUCCAAUCUUAGCUGUCUACCUUGAGGAUACAAAAACACUUAUUUUGAAGAGAAAUAUAUUUCUCUAAGAUAAAGAGGUCUUAUUUUAUAUACAAAUGUUACAUGCUUAUGGUUUUUAUUCCUUGAUUUGAAAUCUACUUGUGAUGGCUGCUUAAACAUUAUUCGCUUUGUCUUGAACAAUUGAAAGUGAGUCAGACCUUACCAAAAAAAAAGCUUUUAAGUCAUCUGAAUGAGUAAGCUUUCUGGACCAGUGUCAUCAUGGGAGAAAAAU